RNAcentral lists this transfer RNA (72 nucleotides) under Ornithorhynchus anatinus (platypus). It matches the Rfam family "tRNA". Rfam says of the family: Transfer RNA (tRNA) molecules are approximately 80 nucleotides in length. Their secondary structure includes four short double-helical elements and three loops (D, anti-codon, and T loops). Lineage: Eukaryota; Metazoa; Chordata; Mammalia; Monotremata; Ornithorhynchidae. The record is from Rfam by way of RNAcentral.
GUCAGUGUAGCUUAGUGGCAAGAGCAUGGUCUUGGGAGUCAGAGGACGUGGGUUCUAAUCCCAGCUUUGCCA